This 373-nucleotide long non-coding RNA is filed under the name Elaeis guineensis (African oil palm). RNAcentral's name for it is "long non-coding RNA (EGUI_LNC005410)". Lineage: Eukaryota; Viridiplantae; Streptophyta; Magnoliopsida; Arecales; Arecaceae. The record is from RNAcentral.
GAUCUAAUGAUUUGCCAUGGUACAAAAUUAAAAGUAAAUGAAAAAUGGAGGGUCUAGAGUUCAAACCUCAGUGAGAGAUUGAUCAUUGCAUUGCUCAGGCAAAAAAAAGAAAGAGGAAAUAAUUAGAAGAACAGAAACACUCUUCUUUCAAACAUCACAUCUUGGCAAGAGGAAGAUCAAAUAUUUCACACGCUUUGGCUUCUCCUCUCUUCUGCUUUCCAAACUAUCAUGUCUUCUUUUUUUUUUUUCAUUUUCUUGUUAUAUUCUUUUGGACUAUUGCUAUUAAGCAAUAUUGAGCAAAUUAAAAGAGAUUAAAUUCUUAGGUUCGAUAAUUAAAGGAGCCUAGCCUCAAUUAUUCUAUGAAGUGGGAAGA